This 467-nucleotide ribosomal RNA is filed under the name uncultured bacterium. RNAcentral's name for it is "partial 16S ribosomal RNA". It matches the Rfam family "Bacterial small subunit ribosomal RNA", at positions 28 to 506 of the family's 1533-position model. The record is from RNAcentral.
GACGAACGCUGGCGGCGUGCUUAACACAUGCAAGUCGAACGGAAAGGCCCUGCUUUUUUGGGGUGCUCGAGUGGCGAACGGGUGAGUAACACGUGAGUAACCUGCCCUUGACUUUUGGAUAACUUCAGGAAACUGGGGCUAAUACCGGAUAGGAGCUCCUGCUGCAUGGUGGGGGUUGGAAAGUUUCGGCGGUUGGGGAUGGACUCGCGGCCUAUCAGCUUGUUGGUGGGGGAGUGGCUUACCAAGGCUUUGACGGGUAGCCGGCCUGAGAGGGUGAACGGCCACAUUGGGACUGAGAUAAGGCCCAGACUCCUACGGGAGGGAGCAGUGGGGAAUAUUGCACAAUGGGCGGAAGCCUGAUGCAGCAACGCCGCGUGCGGGAGGACGGCCUUCGGGUGGUAAACCGCUUUCGCCUGUGACGAAGCGUGAGUGACGGUAAUGGGUAAAGAAGCACCGGCUAACUACGU